Saccostrea cuccullata (small rock oyster) is the source of this 228-nucleotide long non-coding RNA. RefSeq lists it as uncharacterized. The record is from RefSeq and is a predicted model, not a curated record. NCBI's taxonomy places the organism in Eukaryota, Metazoa, Mollusca, Bivalvia, Ostreida, Ostreidae. The transcript is spliced from 3 exons.
GGCCUUCCACUCCCACCCCAGAAAGCAAAGAAAAUGUUAACAAGCCAUCAUCAUCAUCUUUGCAGGAGGUACCAAUCCAGAGUUAUUCCCCAGCCAUGGACUCAAAUUGGCCACCAUUACAGGUUGACGAGGAACUCGCAAACUUCCAAAAUGUUGAAAAUUCUAUUUUGACCACGUUCAGAAGAAAAUAUCCCCAGAAAUAUCAAACAUUAGAAAAAAGGAUUAAGG